CAGCAGCCGCGGGAAUACGUAGGUGGCGAGCGUUGUCCGGAAUUAUUGGGCGUAAAGCGCGCGCAGGUGGUUUAAUAAGUCUGAUGUGAAAGCCCACGGCUCAACCGUGGAGGGUCAUUGAAAACUGUUAAACUUGAGUGCAGGAGAGAAAAGUGGAAUUCCUAGUGUAGCGGUGAAAUGCGUAGAGAUUAGGAGGAACACCAGUGGCGAAGGCGGCUUUUUGGCCUGUAACUGACACUGAGGCGCGAAAGCGUGGGGAGCAAACAGGAUUAGAGACCCCGGUAGUCCCUGUCUCUUAUAC
This 301-nucleotide ribosomal RNA is filed under the name uncultured bacterium. RNAcentral describes it as "partial 16S ribosomal RNA". It matches the Rfam family "Bacterial small subunit ribosomal RNA", at positions 509 to 807 of the family's 1533-position model. The record is from RNAcentral.